This is a long non-coding RNA of Prunus avium (sweet cherry), 591 nucleotides long. RefSeq lists it as uncharacterized. The record is from RefSeq and is a predicted model, not a curated record. Lineage: Eukaryota; Viridiplantae; Streptophyta; Magnoliopsida; Rosales; Rosaceae.
UCAGAAAUCUCUCUCUCCUCACGCUCUCUCUCGCGCGACUUUCCCCCUCCCCUUCGUUUUUCUUCAGCCGCAGCCUCCACCCGCCAUAGCCACCGCCUCCGACCACCAGAAUCCACGGCACCAGAGCCAAAAGGACCGGCCAGACCUCGCCUUCGAAACCCUGGCCAUCUCCAGCCUGCAACCGCCGUCGAGACCACCGGAAAUCGCAGAAAACAGGCCGGAAAAUCGCGGAACUUCCAAGCCUUCGUUCUCUCUCAAUUCUCCACCGAUUUCGACAAGUGAGGUAAUCCGACUCCUCCUUCAUAGCAGGCAGGACCCUCUCAGGGUCACGCAGCUUGGGAUUACUUCCAGUAGUGACUGGAACGAGCCGCAGUGCCGUGUUUUGUGCUCCUAUUUGCACGAGUUUCAGUACUUGAGCCUUCUCAGAGCCUCUGUGCUAUGUAAAAUCGUUAAACUUCCUUCCUACUUGUAAAUUUUUGAAUUCUGUUAGUUGCUCUGUUAUUACCCUGUUAGGAUGUGAUUUUUGAGGCCGGAGGCCAUGGUUUGUAACACUAUGCUUUGUGUAAUACAUGCUGGCUGUUGGGUUGUUUU